This 467-nucleotide ribosomal RNA is filed under the name uncultured bacterium. RNAcentral's name for it is "partial 16S ribosomal RNA". It matches the Rfam family "Bacterial small subunit ribosomal RNA", at positions 28 to 507 of the family's 1533-position model. The record is from RNAcentral.
GACGAACGCUGGCGGCGUGCUUAACACAUGCAAGUCGAACGGAAAGGCCCUGCUUUUGUGGGGUGCUCGAGUGGCGAACGGGUGAGUAACACGUGAGUAACCUGCCCUUGACUUUGGGAUAACUUCAGGAAACUGGGGCUAAUACCGGAUAGGAGCUCCUGCUGCAUGGUGGGGGUUGGAAAGUUUCGGCGGUUGGGGAUGGACUCGCGGCUUAUCAGCUUGUUGGUGGGGUAGUGGCUUACCAAGGCUUUGACGGGUAGCCGGCCUGAGAGGGUGACCGGCCACAUGGGAACGGAGUUCCGGCCCAAACUCUUCCGGGAGGCAGCGGUGGGAAUAUUGCACAAUGGGCGGAAGCCUGAUGCAGCAACGCCGCGUGCGGGAUGACGGCCUUCGGGUUGUAAACCGCUUUCGCCUGUGACGAAGCGUGAGUGACGGUAAUGGGUAAAGAAGCACCGGCUAACUACGUG